This 467-nucleotide ribosomal RNA is filed under the name uncultured bacterium. Its description in RNAcentral is "partial 16S ribosomal RNA". It matches the Rfam family "Bacterial small subunit ribosomal RNA", at positions 28 to 507 of the family's 1533-position model. The record is from RNAcentral.
GAUGAACGCUGGCGGCGUGCUUAACACAUGCAAGUCGAACGGAAAGGCCCAAGCUUGCUUGGGUACUCGAGUGGCGAACGGGUGAGUAACACGUGGGUGAUCUGCCCUGCACUUCGGGAUAAGCCUGGGAAACUGGGUCUAAUACCGGAUAGGACCACUUCUUGGAUGUUGUGGGGGAAAGUUUUUUCGGUGUGGGAUGAGCUCGCGGCCUAUCAGCUUGUUGGUGGGGUAAUGGCCUACCAAGGCGUCGACGGGUAGCCGGCCUGAGAGGGUGUACGGCCACAUUGGGACUGAGAGACGGCCCAGACUCCUACGGGAGGCAGCAGGGGGGAAUAUUGCACAAUGGGCGCCAGCCUGAUGCAGGGACGCCGCGGGGGGGAAGACGGCCUUCGGGUUGUAAAAACCGUACGCUAGGGACGAAGCGUUUUGUGACGGUACCUGGAGAAGAAGCACCGGCUAACUACGUG